Molecule: ribosomal RNA, 277 nt
Filed under: uncultured bacterium
Lineage: Bacteria
Description: partial 16S ribosomal RNA
Rfam family: Bacterial small subunit ribosomal RNA
Source: RNAcentral
GAUAAACGCUGGCGGCGUGCCUAACACAUGCAAGUCGAACGUCCUGCUCCUUCGGGGGCAGGGAGUGGCGGACGGGUGAGUAACACGUGGGUACCUCCCCUCAGGUGAGGGAUACCGGCGAGAAAUCGCCGACAAGACCGCAUAGGGUCGUCUCCUUCGGGGAGGCGAGCAAAGUCGCAAGACGCCUGGGGAUGGGCCUGCGUCCGAUUAGCUGGCUGGUGGGGUAAGAGCCUACCAGGGCGACGAUCGGUAGCUGGUCUGAGAGGACGAUCAGCCA